UACGAAGGGUGAGAGCGUUGUUCGGAUUUAUUGGGCGUAAAGCGCGCGCAGGCGGGUAAUCAAGUCAGAUGUGAAAUCUCGGGGCUCAACUCCGAAACAGCGUCUGAAACUAAUUAUCUAGAGUCUUGGCAGGGGAGGGGGAAUUUCACAUGUAGGGGUAAAAUCCGUAGAGAUGUGAAGGAACACCAGAGGCGAAGGCGCCCUCCUGGACAAGUACUGACGCUGAGGCGCGAAAGCGUGGGGAGCAAACAGG
Molecule: ribosomal RNA, 253 nt
Filed under: uncultured bacterium
Lineage: Bacteria
Description: partial 16S ribosomal RNA
Rfam family: Bacterial small subunit ribosomal RNA
Source: RNAcentral